UUAUAACACGUCCACUCGGGAUGUAUGGCAUAUAUUGCACUCAGCCCUCGGGGCUUACGCCCUCGUGCUUCAGUGCAAUAUAUUCCAUACAUGUCAUCCCUCGUGCCCGUGUUAUAACUAUAUAUCUAACAUAUUCUGAAAGAAAUACGUAAACAAGAUGCAGGCAAAGCUUUAUGUUUUUGGUAAACAGUGCAUUGAACCGACUUUUUGUGAUAAUCUGCAUAUUCCUCUAGCUGGCAGUAUGCGGCCUGGAAUCGAGGAUAUACUAGACAAGAUUAAUUUUAACGCCCAUGUGCAGUAUAAUUGCGAGAGCACGUAUAAAAGUAGUGAAUGUAGCCUAGGAUACUUUCAUACUGAGUUGCAAGAAGCAUUAGUCCAUGAUGAGUUGCUUACUGUGGAAAUCAGUCACUGUCCUGAGCCUGGUUUCGGCUGUUGGAGGACAAUUGAGUGAAGAUGUGAGGCUGAUAGAUUCGUCUGGUUCAACAGAUACCAAAAUUGGCAGACUGGAGGUCUAUUACAAUGGACAAUGGGGGACAGUGUGUCAGGACAACUUCGGUAUAAAUGAUGCAAGAGUGGCUUGUCGUCAACUAGGUUUCCUAGGUUACAUAGGCUAUGGGGUCGUACGAAAUGCCCUAACAGUGUCAGCAUCCACACCGAUAUGGUUGGACGAGCUUGGUUGCUUUGGAUCUGAAACUAGACUAGAUGACUGCCCACACAAUUCUAUUGGAAUUCAUAAUUGUGAUCGUUCUGACGAUGUGGGAUUAGUGUGUGCAAUAAAUGAAGAUUUGAGACUUGUGAAUAGUUCUGGCACCACUGGGUUAGGUCCCGAUGGUCGACUGGAGUUGUUUUAUAACGGACAAUGGGGGACAGUGUGUGACGAUAGCUUCAGUCCAAACGAUGCAAGGGUGGCUUGUCGUCAGCUGGGGUAUGAUGACUAUGCUAAUUAUGGACGAGUAGGAACAUUAGGUUUCUCCCAAUCAUCAUCAACCACUCGGACAUGGCUAAACGAGCUUCGUUGCUUAGGAAACGAGACCAAACUCAUUAAUUGUCCUGCUAACACUAUCGGAGUUGAAGAUUGCACCCAUACACAAGAUGUGGCCUUAUUCUGUAUUUCGGAGGGAGACCUGAGGCUGGUAGACAAUUCAGGCCGAACAGGAGGCUCCUCUGGCAGACUGGAGGUCUAUAACAGUGGACAAUGGGGGACAGUGUGUGAUGAUAGCUUCAGUCCAAAUGAUGCAAAAGUGGCUUGUCGUCAGCUGGGGUACGAUGACUAUACUCAGUAUGGACGAGUAGGAACAUUAGGUUUCUCCCAUCAUCAUCAACCACUCGGACAUGGCUGGACGAGCUUCGUUGCUUAGGAACUGAGAGCAGACUCAUCGAUUGUCCUGCUAACACUAUCGGAGUGGAAGAUUGCACCCACACACAAGAUGUGGCCCUGUUCUGUAUUUUGGAUGGAGACCUGAGGCUGAUAGACAACUCAGGCCGAACAGGAGGCUCCUCUGGCAGACUGGAGGUCUAUUACAGUGGACAAUGGGGGACAGUGUGUGAUGAUAGCUUCAGUCCAAACGAUGCAAGAGUGGCUUGUCGUCAAC
Molecule: RNA transcript, 1592 nt
Organism: Halichondria panicea
Lineage: Eukaryota; Metazoa; Porifera; Demospongiae; Suberitida; Halichondriidae
Gene name: neurotrypsin-like
Exons: 8
Source: RefSeq, a predicted model, not a curated record